UACAGAGGGUGCAAGCGUUAAUCGGAAUUACUGGGCGUAAAGCGUGCGUAGACGGUCACGUAAGUCGGGUGUGAAAGCCCCGGGCUCAACCUGGGAAUUGCAUUCGAGACUGCAUGGCUAGGGUGCGGAAGAGGGAAGCGGAAUUUCCGGUGUAGCGGUGAAAUGCGUAGAUAUCGGAAGGAACACCAGUGGCGAAGGCGGCUUCCUGGUCCAGCACCGACGUUCAGGCACGAAAGCGUGGGGAGCAAACAGG
RNAcentral lists this ribosomal RNA (253 nucleotides) under uncultured bacterium. Its description in RNAcentral is "partial 16S ribosomal RNA". It matches the Rfam family "Bacterial small subunit ribosomal RNA", at positions 524 to 776 of the family's 1533-position model. The record is from RNAcentral.